GUGGCUUUUCCCAUUUGCACAAGCUGUUUGUACAAAGUCAGCAGUAUCUUCAUUUGGUGCAGUCUGGCGUCCUAAGUCUUUCACCUUCUCAAGAGGUACUGCAGUAGGUCCGGAAUUGGCCUGUAAUGUGCCUGACUUUCCUGAUGUCAGUGUUCAAAUUCCUCAGAGUUGUGUUCCUGUUAAUCAAGAUUUCUGUAUUACAAUCAAGGUACAAGAAUUUCCAAGCAGUGAGCUAAAAGGAGAGGGAGGACUUGUUGGUCCAGUUCUUUACAUUUCAGGCUCUGAAAAAGUUACUUUCAUCACGCCUGUAACAAUUAGGAUUCCUCUCACCCUCUGUAAAGGGAAACAAGAGUUGGCAGAGUUAUGUCCUGGUGAACUUAGGAUAUUACACUGUGAGUCACUAGUUGAACCACAUGACUGGAAAGACAUCACAGAUGGACUGGAUGAACCGCCACUUCUUCUCGAUGGGAAAGUGCAAUUCAAAGUCAAGCAUUUCUCUAGAUUCCGUCCA
Molecule: non-coding RNA, 511 nt
Organism: Pocillopora verrucosa
Lineage: Eukaryota; Metazoa; Cnidaria; Anthozoa; Scleractinia; Pocilloporidae
Source: RefSeq, a predicted model, not a curated record